RNAcentral lists this ribosomal RNA (520 nucleotides) under uncultured prokaryote. Its description in RNAcentral is "bacterial SSU rRNA". It matches the Rfam family "Bacterial small subunit ribosomal RNA", at positions 383 to 905 of the family's 1533-position model. The record is from RNAcentral.
CUUAUGCAGGGCUCCUCGUUACUUAUGACGGCCUUCGGGUGGUAAAGCUCUGUCGUAAGGGAAGAACGGCGAUGAUAGGGAAUGAUCAUCGAGUGACGGUACCUUACCAGAAAGCCACGGCUAACUACGUGCCAGCAGCCGCGGUAAUACGUAGGUGGCAAGCGUUAUCCGGAAUUAUUGGGCGUAAAGGGUGCGUAGGCGGCCAUUUAAGUCUAAGGUGAAAGUUCGAGGCUCAACUUCGAAUUGCCUUAGAAACUGGAUGGCUAGAGUGCAGGAGAGGGCAAUGGAAUUCCAUGUGUAGCGGUAAAAUGCGUAGAUAUAUGGAGGAACACCAGUGGCGAAGGCGGUUGCCUGGCCUGUAACUGACGCUAAACCACAAAAGCGUGGGGACCAAAUAGGAUAAAAUCCCCUAUUAUUCCACGCUGUAAACGAUGAUUACUAAGUGUGGGGAAACUCAGUGCUGCAGUUAACGCAAUAAGUAAUCCGCCUGGGGAGUAUGCACGCAAGUGUGAAACUCAAA